AAGUCGUAACAAGGUAUCUGUAGGUGAACCUGCUGAUGGAUCAUUAUGAAUUGAACGAGCGACCACGAGUGAGCGUAGCGAACGAGUGGUUGUGAGUCUCUACCUGUGAAUUACCAUGUUUGGGUGAAAAACUCGAGCGCCGAGACCGUAGGUCGAGGUGCGAGACAUUGAUCGAUUGCUGAUUCUAUCGGUAUCUCGAGCCACCCACUAUUACCACAAUAUCCGUCUGACUACAACAAAAGUAAAAA
Molecule: unclassified non-coding RNA, 248 nt
Filed under: plant metagenome
Description: partial contains small subunit ribosomal RNA and internal transcribed spacer 1
Rfam family: Eukaryotic small subunit ribosomal RNA (bases 1-46)
Source: RNAcentral